UUGAUUUGUGACCCUGACUAUAGCUGGUAUUCCUUAAUGACUGGUUAAGGACUCCACUUUCAGAUAAAACAUAGACCUGAAUGGCAUCAUCCAGUAUCCAGGGAAACCAUGUAAGGACCUCUCUCACUGUGUACUUCUCUUAUUCAGAGUUUAAAAGCUAGCUGAGUACUGAAUAACCACAUGAUGGAUGGAAGAACCAGCUCCCUCAAGUUCUUCUUCGACUUCCACUGGCUUGCUUUGUCACACCCAACCAAAUAAAGAAAUAUAAAAAAUUGAUGGCAUGA
This is a long non-coding RNA of Rattus rattus (black rat), 284 nucleotides long. RefSeq lists it as uncharacterized. The record is from RefSeq and is a predicted model, not a curated record. NCBI's taxonomy places the organism in Eukaryota, Metazoa, Chordata, Mammalia, Rodentia, Muridae. The transcript is spliced from 3 exons.